GGGGAUAUAGUUCAGUGGUAGAGCAUUCGACUGCAGAUCGAGAGGUCCCUGGUUCAAAUCCACGUGUUCCCU
RNAcentral lists this transfer RNA (72 nucleotides) under Anneissia japonica. RNAcentral's name for it is "tRNA-Cys". It matches the Rfam family "tRNA". From Rfam's summary of the family: Transfer RNA (tRNA) molecules are approximately 80 nucleotides in length. Their secondary structure includes four short double-helical elements and three loops (D, anti-codon, and T loops). Lineage: Eukaryota; Metazoa; Echinodermata; Crinoidea; Comatulida; Comatulidae. The record is from RNAcentral.